This 231-nucleotide long non-coding RNA is filed under the name Ricinus communis (castor bean). RNAcentral describes it as "long non-coding RNA (RCOM_LNC001255)". Lineage: Eukaryota; Viridiplantae; Streptophyta; Magnoliopsida; Malpighiales; Euphorbiaceae. The record is from RNAcentral.
UCAACCUCACACCGAUCUUUCUCGAUCAUAGCAAAGCCUUAUAAGGCUUGCAUAUAAUACAUGAUGGACUUACAAUACUACUCUUGGCCCAUCUCCUUCCAGUUGGUGACAUCUGCCUCCAACUCGAAACAAGACAUAAGGUGACCGCAUACCUCAGGAUUUUGGAGUGCAAGGCUUUAGAUUAUCGGUCAUCCACUUAAUAAUAUUGCAAAAUCCUGGCUUCAUCUUCUU